AUUGAACGCUGGCGGCAUGCCUUACACAUGCAAGUCGAACGGCAGCACGGGUGCUUGCACCUGGUGGCGAGUGGCGAACGGGUGAGUAAUACAUCGGAACACGUCCUGUAGUGGGGGAUAGCCCGGCGAAAGCCGGAUUAAUACCGCAUACGAUCUACGGAUGAAAGCGGGGGACCUGCGGGCCUCGCGCUAUAGGGUUGGCCGAUGGCUGAUUGGCUCGUUGGUGGGGUAAAGGCCUACCAAGGCGACGAUCAGUAGCUGGUCUGAGAGGACGACCAGCCACACUGGGACUGAGACACGGCCCAGACUCCUACGGGAGGCAGCAGUGGGGAAUUUUGGACAAUGGGCGAAAGCCUGGUCCAGCAAUGCCGCGUGUGUGAAGAAGGCCUUCGGGUUGUAAAGCACUUUUGUCCGGAAAGAAAUCCUUGGCCCUAAUACGGUCGGGGGAUGACGGUACCGGAAGAAUAAGCACCGGCUAACUACGUG
RNAcentral lists this ribosomal RNA (486 nucleotides) under uncultured bacterium. RNAcentral describes it as "partial 16S ribosomal RNA". It matches the Rfam family "Bacterial small subunit ribosomal RNA", at positions 29 to 507 of the family's 1533-position model. The record is from RNAcentral.